CCGAGUUAGUGCCCUCACGGGUCCGAUCCUCCCACCCUUGUGUAUCUACAUCCUUGUUGCUUGGCAGGGUGGUCGCAACCCCCGGCUUCGACGGGCGAGGCGGCCUGCCAGAGGUACUUCUCAACACUGCAGUCUGUCAGUGUCGUCUGAGUACAUUAAGGAAAUGUAACA
This 171-nucleotide unclassified non-coding RNA is filed under the name soil metagenome. RNAcentral describes it as "partial internal transcribed spacer 1". The record is from RNAcentral.